AUAUGAAAAUAUUAUUGAUGACGUGAAAAUAGUUAUCGUGUAGUGGCAAAAGUUAAAUAAUGAGCCAUUAAGCCUAUUGUACAUGUUUUUGAAUCCCCAACUAAUCAUUUUGUUAUUUUUUGUUUUUAUUAUUUCUGAAAAAUUUGCACAAUUAGUUCAUAUUAACACCUCUAAUAAAUUCCUCCCUAACCUUGAGUAAAACUUACUUUGAUUUGAAGUCUUUGAAUGUACAAUGAUUGCUAGAGGAUUUUUAUUGCAAGUAAUAGAUGGCGUGCUUUGUGUUGUCUUUCGGUUUCGUGGGUUGUUUUAGUAUUUAUUUAUUUUUAUCGGUAAAUGUGUUAGUAUUUAUUGACACUAGUACAUCACGUCUAUUCAAUGCUGUACAACUUUACACGUGUGUGAUUCACAAGAUACAGCUAGAGAAAUGUGAUUUGAUGCUUUCUAUCUUCUAUGUUACCAAAACUAAGACAAGAUCAAAGAAUUUUGAUUUUCUUGGAUUUAACAAACCUCUAUUCUUAUUUGCCAUUUUGUGCAGAUGAUCCGAUCAGUAAUCCAAACAUUUUUGGAGAUCCAUACAAAAAGUUGUUUGUAAAUAGACUUGUGAAUAAUAUUUAUCCUUGAAAUUAGAAUCUUAUUCACUAUUUAUCACGUCCAUUGGUUGACUCAAUUUGUCAUGUUAGCAAAAUCAACCAUUCUACACGUAUACUUUUUUCAUACCUUUUUUCACAGAACAAACACAUGCAAGUGGGUGGAUCCACGAUUAUUUAAUCUUGGACCCCACCUUUGUGACAGAGUGUGAAAAUUGAUGUAAAAAAAAAAGUGACGUACAAAUAGCAUUUUUGUUGCAAAAUUACGAGACAUCAGAAAGCAGGACCAAAAGGGAGCACGAGGCUUAUGGGCCAAUCAAGCGGCUAGGUAUUAUAGAGCAAGUCAAUAGAGGGCUCAAGUUAAAUUGGAUUUGGCUUCUGGUUUGGUAAGAAUUUCACAUUUGGCGACUGUGUCCUAUCCUCCUUUUUGUCUUUUCAUUGAAAUAUGUUUCAUUAUUUUGAUUUUUGCAUUUUAAAAAUGGUAAAAGAGAAGACGAACUAAAAUUAAGUUUAUCUUUUUAUAAUUGUGAUGUAAUAAUUUCAAUAAUCCAACAUUUUAUUAACAUAUGAUACCGUCAUUUUUUGUCUAUAACAUGAUAGUAUAUAGGAUGUGUCCUUUUUCCGAGAAUUGAGAUUAUUAAAAAGAAGAGAGUUCUAACACUAUUCAUAAGGCGUCAUUUCCCAUUACCAUGAUAUCAUUGCCAUUUCUGUCCAUUUAUUUGCCUGUCUUUGUUUUUAUCUCUCAUUUGCUUGCAUCAUAGAUUGAUUAUGAAUGUUAUAUAUGGCAGAAAUGUCUUAGUUAGUAUUGUUGCUUUGCAUUUCUCAGAUUAUUGAGAAGUUUAGUAGAUCAACCUGUGUAAUCUACGACAGAAUUGAAUAAUUAAUACUAAUUGUGUUGAAUGUAUUUAUACAAAUAAGAAUAUGCUUUACAAAUACAUAAUAUGAUUAUUAUCUGUCCAAAAUAGUAUUCAAAUGUACUUAUUUCACAAGAAGCCACAAUUUUGAAGUUUGAAGCUUUUGUAUGAUGUGGCAUCUAUCAUUGGGGAAGAACACCUUUGUUUACAUGGUGAAAUUUUUGAAAGUUGGAUACAAGCACGUCCGAAAAACGUUGGAAAUUAAUUUAGUUUUUUGUUGAGGCUGGAAUAAAUUUUCAUAAAUUGCUUGGUGGUAUUGUCUGGAUAAGACAAGUUAAUUUUUGGGAUUAAACCUUUGUUUCAAAAUCAGAUUUUUCAAGAUGUUAACUGCACUACGAAAAAUUCCCAAGGAUUAGGAUGUGGAGCCUACUGAGUUUGAGGAGAUUGUUCUCCAUCUCCUCACUCAAUUGAAUUUUACUGCGAUUAUUAAAUGCAUCAUGAUUCAUUCAUUCUUGAUAGUUAUUCAAACUCAUUUCGACUUGGAGAAUACAAACCAAGAGAUUAAGAGUGACUUGAAAGACCUCUACAUUAACUCUGCCAUGUAGGAUAGUGUCAAUCUCUCGUAGAUAUUCUCCAAGUUCAAUAAGAAGUAGUAAUAUAAAUUUAUAUAACAUAGUUUUUCUGUUAUAAGAACAAGUAAAUAAUGUGCAUAAUGGAUCAAGUUUUGGGGCGAACCUCUUUUUGUUCUUUCAAAUUUCUUUCAUUUUGGUGACUUUACUGGAACAUUCAUAAUGAAAUGAUCGACCUAUUGUUUAAGGGACGAAAACUAUCAUACGGUGUUCCUCAACCCUUGUCCCUUUUUUCUGUGUGACAGCAUACUUUUAUGUGUAAAAGUCCUAAAGAAAAGCAACCCCAAUCCCAUAUCUCAAUGUGCACCAAUGGUUGCACUGGAUAUUAUAUUUGUCCAAAAGCCUGCCUCUCUCUAACCCACUCUCUCAUUUAUUUCCUUCAAUGAUUAAUUCCUAUUCAACCUUUCCAUAUAACUCUACGUUUGGGUGUUUUGAUGCCUGUUCAGAUUUAGAAAUACAUAUUUUGCCUGGAGAUGUGUUGUAGUAUCAUGGAACACAACUAAGUUAAACUCCUUUUAUUCUCUAUUUGUAGGAUAAAAGUUACAAUUUCUCAACCCACGACUAUAAAUGAUGGAUUUCAAGUGCGCAGUCCUUUUCCCCUGUAUAUAUUGUAGUUUAUGUUCGAGUAGUUGCUGAGGUUGUAUACACCCUCACUUUAUUUUAAUACAAGCUUCCUUUUAUCUUUUUCCCUACAAUUAGCUUUUACGUUUGGACCUCUAAUUCUAUUUUGAUGUGGCACUCUGAAGAUUAUCAUUCUAAUCGAGCACGUAUAUAAAAAACCUCCACUAUUUUAUUCUCCCUGAGAUUUAUAUGUGUUACACAAAGUAAUGAACCAAAAAUAUACAAAACAACCAAGAAAAUUAUUAGUACAAAAUUAUAGAAAUCCGUUUCCAGCUGAUCAAUGAAACUCAGACCACAGGCAUCAAAGAUGAAGGUCUUUCAUGUUUUAAGCUUAGAAUAGAGAGAAAAUUAGGUUUGUACCCGUCUGUAUGACCCACACGAUCCACCCAAAUCCUAAGGCUUUUCCUCUAUCAGAUUAAAGGAAGCCACAAGGGUAAAAUCACACACCAACCCCUUCAAUACACUUAGUAUUUCAGUAAAGCAGAGAAGAAUCACUCAGAAAUCAAUUCCAAUCAGAGAUUGGAAGUUCACGAAGAAGAAGAAGGAUUUGGAAGAGUCUCAAAGUCUCACAGACUGCUCAAGAAGAAGAAAGUGACGAUUCCACCCAAAUUAGGGCAACCAAGAGGCAAAUUUAUACCCACAGACAAAUAACAAUUGAUCAAGAUUUCAUCCAACGGUGGAGGGCUCCCAAGAAUAAUAAAGAGGACGUAUUUUUGGAUUGCAUUUAAAAUGCCUCGCCUAAAAAACACGUUUUCGACCUUUUUGGCCGGGUGGAUCAAGUCACGUUAUUGGGCAAGAGCCUUAGUUUAAUAAAAUAGAAUUUGGGCUUUAGCCCAUUUUGUUAUCACAGCCCAGAAAGGUCAUUAGGCAUCACAACCCAACAACCUCCACCUUGAUGCCAAUGGGAUUUCUGGACACUUGCAGCUCUCCAAUUGACACAAGCUAUACCUUUGUCCCCAUGUGUAAUGGAUUAUAUUGUGUAAGAACUUUUUCAAGAAGAACAGAUUCAUUUGAGAUGAUAUCCCUAAUAAAAUGUAACUUCACAUCUAUAUGUUUAGUUCUUUCAUGAAAAAUAGGAUUCGUACACAGGUGUAUUACACUUUGGCUAUCAGAAUAUACAACGACAAGUUUAUUUAACAUUCUUAUUUCAGAUAACAGUCCCUUAAGCCACAAGGCUUCCUUUAUGGCCUCUGUGGUAGCAACAUAUUCAGCCUCUGUGGUUGAUAAAGCAACUAUAGACUAUAAUUGAGACUUCCAACUCACACAGGUACCACAAAGUGUAAAUAUAUAGGCAGAUGUGGACUUUCUAUUGUCCCUAUUGCCAACAAAAUCAGCAUCCACAAAGUCUUUAAGCAUUAUUCCUUCAUUACAGUUUUUAAACACUAAUCUUAAGCUAGAUGUACCUUUUAAGUACCUAAGAAGCCAUUUAAGAGCUUCCCAAUGUUCAGGACCAGGAUUAGCCAUAAACCUGCUUAAAGUGCUGAUUGCAUGAGCCACAUCAGGUCUGGUACAGACCAUGGUAUACAUUAUAGACCCUACUGCAUUAGCAUAUGGAACCUUUUCCAUGUACUUUAUAUCAGAUUCAUUAAUUGGACAUUGCUCUUUACUUAAUUUGAAAUGACUAGCUAAGGAUAAAGACACUGAUUUUGAUUCAUGCAUGGAAAACUUAGAUAAGACUUUUUCUAUGUAAGCCGAUUGUUUCAAGAUCAAGGUGGAUUGCGAUCUUUUUCUAAGUAUAUCCAUUCCCAGUAUUCUUUUAGAAUGCCCCAGAUUUUUAAUUUCAAACUCAGCUCCAAAAGUUUCUUUAAUAUCAUUUAUCUAUUUUAAAUCAUGCCCAAUUAAUAGCAUGUCGUCAACAUAAAGUAAUAGAAAAAUGGAUAUUAAGUAAUCAGAAUUUUCUUAAAAUAAAGGCAAUGAUCAUAAGAGCUUCUUACAAAAUCAACAGUUAUGACAAAAUUAUCAAACAUUUUAUACCAUUGUCUUAGUGACUGUUUUAAACCAUAUAAGGAUUUUUUAAAGUAAGCACACAAAAUCAGAUUUAGAUUUAUUUACAAAACCCUCAGGUUGUGACAUAUAAAUUGUCUCAUCUAAAUCACCAUGUAAGAAUGCUGUUUUUACAUUCAUUUGUUCUAGUUCCCAAUUGUGAUAUGCAAAUAAUGUAAGUAGGACUCUAAUAGUUGUGUAUUUUAUAACAGGUGAAAAUAUCUCAUUGUAAUUCACACCUUGUUUUUGUGUAAACCCUUUAACAACUAAUCUUGCUUUAAAUCUUACAAGCUCAUGAUCUAAACUGCCUUAUUUCACUUUGUAAAUCCAUUUACAAUUAAUUAUGGAUUUAUUUUGGGGUCUGUGCUCAAGAUCCCAAGUUUUAUUUUUCAUUAAAGAGCUCAUCUCUUCUCUCAUGGCAGCUUCCCACUUACCAGACUGGUUGCAACUCAUAGCUUCAUUAUAGGUCUUAGGUUCCUUAUAGGCUAGAUCAUUAUAAGACAUGACAGAAUAGGAUAGAUAGUCUUCAUAUCUUGUAGGUACUCUUAUGUUCUUUCUAGGCCUAUCCCUAGUCAAUUGAUAGUCACUGAGAUCACUUUGUUGACUGGGAUCAUCCAUUUCAAUUUGUUCCUAUUCCUGCACGCCUGAAUAUUCUAAUUCAGUCUGAGUCUGAGGUAGUGUAAGUUCAUUCUCUCUCAUAUUAUCAGGAACAUAAUCAAUUUGAGAUCCCAACUCCACCUGAAACCUGGUCACAUAUGGGUUUUCAGGGUUUGUAGACAUUUGUUUUUCUAAACAAGGCAUUUUAUCCUCAUUAAAGGUAACAUCUCUACUUGUCAUGAUUUUAUAUCCCCCAUGACCUCUAGCCCAUAACCUAUAACCUUUAAUUCCUUUAGGAUAGCCUAAGAACACACAUUUCUGAGCCCUUGGCUCCAAUUUCCACAAAUUUUGGUGACAGUAAGCUGUACACCCAAAAACUCUAAUGUGGGAAUAAUCUGUCAAUUUCCCAGACCACUUCUUUUCAGGUGUUUUUCCUUCUAAAGCACUAGAAGGGGUUCUAUUCACUAUAUAUGUGGCUGUCACAACAGCCUCCCCCCCCCCCCCCCACAACACCUUAGAAACUCCAAAUCCCACCAUCAUACAUCUAACCUUAUCCAACAAUGUCCUAUUCAUUUUCUUGGCCACCCCAUUUUACUGGGGUGUAUAUGGGACAGUUUUGUGUCAUAAGAUUCCAGUUUGUUCACAAAAUUUAUCAAAUUCUAAGUUGCAAAAUUCAAAUCCAUUAUCAGUUUUCACAAUUUUGAUCUUUGUAGACAUUUGAUUUUCAAUAAGGACUUUCCAGUUCUUAAACUUUUCAAAGGUUUCAGAUUUGUGUCUUAGAAGACACAGCCACACUUUUCUUGAAAAGUCAUCUAUUAUUGAGAGGAAAUACUUAUUUCCCCCUUGGGUAGUUGUGGAGGCUGGACCCCACAAAUCAGAGUGGACAUAUUCCAAUGAGGAGGUAGUCUUAUGCUUUCCAAAAUCAAAGUGGAGUAUGUGAUGUUUACCAAAAGUACAGUUUUCACAGAAGGAAAUUUUUGAUAUUUGGUCCUUACCAAAUGCCCCCAUUUUAUAUAGGAUUGUGAGGCCUUUUUCACCAACAUGUGCAAGCCUUUUAUGCCAUUUUAGGGUAGAAUCAGAUUCAGUAUUAGAUAUAACAACAUUAUUUUCAAGUACUGUUUUAGCUUUAACUACAUAAAUUCCAUUUUUCUUUACACCCUUCCCUUGAUCACUUUCAUCAACCCGACUCCAAUCAUAAUACCACACAUCCCUAAGUCAUCUAAUUCUCCCAUAGAGAUCAGAUUCCAUUUAAGUUCAGGUACAUACCUUACUCUCUCUAGGGUAUAUAUGUAUCCAUUUUCAAAUUUUAGGGUCACAUUAUCUAAACCUUCAACUUUGUAGGCAAUAUUAUUCCCCAUCACCACUUCACCACCUCCUAACUUCUUAAAAUUUUGAAGCCACGAACUUUCAUGUGUAAUAUGAAAGGUACAACCUGAGUCCAAAAUCCACUAAUGGACAUAUCGCCUGUGAGCAUAAUUUGGUACUUCCAGAUCAGGUUGCUGAGCCACCACAUAAACAUCAAAUGUGUUAGGUUCAGCGGGCUCAACUACGUUCCCCUCAUCUACUUUCUUUUCUUUAAAUUCAACUUUCUUGUUAUAGCAAUCUUUUAUGUAAUGACCAAGUUUGCUGCAACCAUAGCACUUAAUGUUAUUUCUUGAUUUUGAUUUGGAUCUUGAUUUACUCCUGAAUUUCUUUUUGUUACUGUUCCCUGAAUGAUUUUGAUUUGGAUGGUUAUUAUUUUGCCUAUUUGGUUGUCUUCCUCUCAUGAACAAACUCUCAGAUUCUUUCCCAUGUCUUUCAGUUUUAAGUUCCAAUUAUUUACUUCUUAUGGAAUUUAUAACAACCUCAGGAGUUAAAAUAUCUCUGCCAUACUUAAUGGUAGAUUUGACUUCCCUAUAUGCCUCCGGUAUGGCAUUAAGAAGUAUUACUGCUUUAUAUUCUUCAGAAAUCACAUCUCCAGCAUUGGUGAUAUCUUGUACCAAUUUAUUAAAGGUAUCAAGAUUAUCAUCCAAGUCUUUGGUUGGAUCAAUCUUAAAACUAAAGAACCUCUCUAGAAGGAAGAGCUUAUUAGGUAAAGACUUCACUAAGUAUAGCUUCUCUAAUUUCUCCCAUAGGGCUUGAUCAUUUCUUAUUUCCCUACUUUUCUUAACACUUGGUCAGAUAGGUGGAGAAUAAUUGAGGUAUGGGGUAAAUCAUCUGAUUCAGUUCUCUAUUCUUGUGUCAUUGUUUCAAGAAACUCUCCAGUUAUAGCCUUAGAAACUUUAUGUUGCACUAAAAUCCCUCUCAUUUUUUGUUGCCAUAUAGGAAAAUCCCCCUUUCCAUUGAAGACUCCAAGUUCAAAACUAGUGGUGAUCAUCUUAUUGAUCAAAACAGGUUACACUUAGCAAUAUUGAUUUGAUCACUAAGGGCAAAUAAGAGGCAGAGAUUCUUGCUAUUACAGGCAAGGCAGAAAAAGUAUAUGUAAGUUUAGAAAGAACAACUUAACAUACACACAUUAUCCAACACAAAGUUAAAAAAAAUAAAUAAAUCAACUAUCCAGCCCUACCAGGAUUUCGUGAUACUCAAGAUCUCAUGUCAAGGCUUGGGUGGUGGGUAGAGGUUUUGUUGAUACGAAAUGAGGAAGGUAUUAAUACAAGACAGGAACAGAACAGUUAUCCAUUGUACUAUAAUAUUCCAACACAACAAGAAUCAUAAAACAUUAUACAAGUACAUUGCACUACUCCAGCAGAACAAGUAUAGGCAGCUUAACUCAAAUCACACAGGCCCAAAUGCAAGAACAAUUAUUCAGUAAAGGCAGAUAACAAGAAAUCGAGCAGUAAAAGUAGGGUUCGAAGAAUUAACCUAUAGUGGUGGUCAUUUCACAUGACCACACCCGAAUUUCAUCAAAGCACGAGUCCACAAUACCCAAGAUCGAAUAGAUCCAAUCACCGUAGGUAGUUUUCACCAAGAAAAGCCAAAUUUAUCACAAAGAAAGUUCCAAGAAAUUUACCAGAUUUGCUGAAUAUUGCAAGAACGUGGUUCAAUUCACCCACAAGAGCCAGUUGAAGGCUCUGAUACCACUGUUACACAAAGUAAUGAACCAAAAAUAUACAAAACAACCAAGAAAAUUAUUAGUACAAAAUUACAGAAAAAAAUCUGUUCCAGCCGAUCAAUGAAACUCAGACCACAUGCAUCAAAGAUGAAGGUCUUUCAUGUUUUGGGCUCAGACUUAAGAGAAAAUUAGGUUUGUACCCAUCUGUAUGACUUACAUGAUCCACCCAAAGCCUAAGGCUUUUUCUCUAUCAGAUUAAAGGAAGUCACAAGGGUAAAAUCAUACACCAACCCCUUCAAUAAACUUAGUAUUUCAGUAAAGCAGAGAAGAAUAACUCAUAAAUCAGUUUCAAUCAGAGAUUGGAAGUUUACAAAGAAGAAUAAGGGUUUGGAAGUGUCUCGAAGUCUCACAGGCUGCUCACGAAAAAGAAAGUGACGAUUCCACCCAAAUUAGGGCAACCAAGAGGCAAAUUUAUACCCACAGAUAGAUAACCAUUGUUCAAGAUUUCAUCCAAUGGUGGAGGGCUCCCAAGAAUAAUUAAGAGGACGUGUUUUUGGACUGCAUUUAAAAUGCCUCGCCUAAAAAACACGCUUUCUACCUUUUUGGGCCAGGUGGAUCAAGUCACGUUAUUGGGUAAUAGCCUUAGUUUAAUAAAACAGAAUUUGGGCUUUAGCCCAUUUUGUCAUCACAGCCCAAAAAGAUCAUUAGGCAUCACAUCCCAACAACAUGCUAACAGCAGAAGUCAAGCCUGGCUCUCUUUUCACCUUGUUUGUCAGCUGCAGUAUGCUCUUUUUAUUUUGUUACUAAUUUGUACAGACUUCUAUGCAUACCUUAGUCAUAAUUUUUUGUGCUUCCUACCUUCUUCGUGGCUAAAUUUUUCAAACACCAGAUUGACAUGUUAUCAUUGCCAGGUAAGUUAUGCAUUAAUUGGUAAAAGCCUUUUCUCUUGUGAAUUUUUUUUUAUAUGUUGUGUACUUCAGUUAAUUUUCAGUAAAGUUAAAAUUAUUCACUUUCAUUUUUUCCUCUUAUAAAAAAUAACCCAUUAUUUUAUUAUGAUUAUUAUCCCUACAUUAUAUUAGAGAGGAAAGUUUGUUACUAUUCAUAAGGUAUCAUCCAUUGCUAAAAAAUGAUUGAUAGAACUGUUUUUAGUUAUUUGAUAGUUUUCCCCAACCAAGAUGAGUUUUUUUUUUUUUUUUUUUCAGCCGACAACAAAUACCCUAGAGAGAGUGUCACCUCUUACGCAUCCAGUGUGAAUUGUGUUGAAACAUGUUUUCGUGAUUUGGCUUCUCAAUCUUAGUCUUUGGUAAACCCACCUUUGCUUAACGUUAUCAUGUGAUGUGUGUGCAGUAAGUUCUAAUUCCAUCAUUUGGAUGACUAUGUAGACUUUGCAGGCAAAAAAAAUUUCAUUGCAAACCGGUAUCAAUACUUCCAUUGCAAUAGCUGGAGUUGCAAUCUACUCCAUCUUAAGGCCAAGAUGGAAGAAGAGAAACAGGUAAGUUCAACUAUAAGAAUCAGAUUUGUAUGCUGGUGCUAUCUAAUAGCACAUCAAAUUUGAUGCAUGUUGGAAGAUCACUAUUCUCCUAAUGUUCAAUCUACGACCUUUUGCUUGUGCAUUUGAUAUCCGAAUACUACUAUUUUUUUGGUAGCAAGUGAGAGCAACAGAAAGUAUGUAUUCUUCUAUUCUUAAUUAAUCUUUGGCUUCAAUUAAAUCUAUAGAUCUUAUUUCAAUUUUCCUUGUCUUUUCUAAGAUGAUGCAUCAGGAGAUAUGUUUGGUUUAUUUCAUUACGUUUUUAGUUAAUAAUUCUGUAGAGUCUUCAAUCAUCAACCACCAAGGCUUUACAGGCUCAGUUCACCAAAUCCCAAAUCAACACCAUCAAUCAAACAACCUAAGAACACUAACAAAAUCUGAAAAACCAGAAUUGCUGAAGCAAGAGAAUAUGUGAUGGUAAAUUUUCUCUUCACAAUCUGAUCAAUCUUUACAAGUGUAUAUAUAGGGUGUAGCUCUAACUAACUAACAAAAUUAAAGCUGUACAGGGAAAACAGAAAGAAUAAAAUGCUAACAAAUCUGCCAUGUCAGUAGCUAUACAAUAGAAAGGAAUCUAAAUUAUAUUCAAUACGCCUCCUCAAGAUGGAAGGUGAAGAUUAUGAACUCCCAUCUUGCUUAACAGUGCUCUGAACCUCAAUCCUCCAGUAGAUUUAGUUAACAUGUCUACAAGUUGAUCCUUAGUACUUAGAUGCAUAGUUCUGAUCUUACCCUCUUGUAUUUUCUCUCUGACCACGUGACAAUCUAGUUCGAUAUGUUUUGUUCUUUCAUGAUAAACUUGAUUUGCUGCAAUAUGUAUGGUUGGUUGAUUAUCACAAAAUAAUAAUGCUGGAUCCUUAUGUUUAAUCCCCAAAUCAGCAAGUAUGUAUUGCGGCCAUGUUAAUUCGCAUACUACUGAAGCCAUAGCUCUGUAUUCAACUUCUGUAGAGGACCUGGACACAGUGCUUUGCUUCUUUGAUCGCCAUGAAAUUAAUGAAUUUCCCAAAAAUAUACAAUACCCCGUGAUGGAUCUUCGGGUAUCUGAGCAUGCAGCCCAGUCUGCAUCACAGAACCCUUUAAGUUGCACCUCUGAAUCCUUUUCAAAGAACAAACCUUGUCCUGCAGUCCCCUUAAGAUAUCUUAGUACAUGCAAGGCUGCAUUAAGAUGUGGUUGUCUAGGUAAGUCAACAAACUGACUGAGGAUCUGAACCGGAUAAGUGAGAUCUGGUCUGGUGAUGGUAAGGUAGAGUAAUCUGCCUACAAGUCUUCUGUAGGUGCUGGGAUUAGUGAUCAGGUCACCAUCUGAUUUGGAAAGUUUCAAAUUUUGCUGUAAAGGUGUUUUGGCGGGUUUAGCACCCAAAUAUCCCACAUUUUCCAAGACUUCCAAAGCAUAUUUCCUUUGGCAAAUGGAGAUCCCAGUGUUAUUUCUAGCCACUUCAAGACCUAGGAAAUACUUCAAAGUUCCAAGGUCCUUUAGCUUAAAUUGUUGGUCCAAAACCUUCUUAAACUGAUCAAUGUACAUCACAUCAUUUCCAGCAAUGAUGAUGUCAUCAACAUAGACUAGUAAGAUGGUAGAUGAGCAACCAUUGAUUUUGGUAAAUAAUGAGUUAUCUGAUUGUGAUUGAGCAAAACCUUGAGAGAGGAUGAAACUGGAUAGUUUGUUGAACCAUUGCCUUGAGGCUUGUUUAAGGCCAUAAAUGGACUUAUUGAGCUUGCAUACAAGUUUAACACCAUUGGCCCCCUGCUGCUCAUACCCUGGAGGCAUGCGCAUAUACACCUCCUCUUCCAAAUCUCCAUGAAGAAAAGCAUUAUUCACAUCAAGUUGGAACAGAUACCAUUGCUGUGUUGAAGCUACUGCUAAAAGUGCUUUGACUGUGACCAACUUAGCCACGGGAGAGAAAGUAUCUUGAUAGUCCAACCCGGCUUGUUGUGUAAAGCCUUUGGCAACAAGUCGUGCUUUCUUUCUUUCUUCACUACCAUCUGCCUUGUAUUUAAUUUUAUAGACCCAUUUACAAUCAACAAGGGUCUUG
RNAcentral lists this long non-coding RNA (11854 nucleotides) under Olea europaea subsp. europaea. Lineage: Eukaryota; Viridiplantae; Streptophyta; Magnoliopsida; Lamiales; Oleaceae. The record is from RNAcentral.